UACAGAGGUCCCAAGCGUUGUUCGGAUUCACUGGGCGUAAAGGGUGCGUAGGCGGUCGGGUAAGUCUGAUGUGAAAUCUCACAGCUUAACUGUGAAACUGCAUUGGAUACUAUCCGGCUCGAGGAAUGGAGGGGAGACUGGAAUACUUGGUGUAGCAGUGAAAUGCGUAGAGAUGUGGAGGAACACCGAUGGCGAAGGCAGCCCCCUGGGGUAACACUGACGCUCAUGCACGAAAGCGUGGGGAGCAAACAGG
Molecule: ribosomal RNA, 253 nt
Filed under: uncultured bacterium
Lineage: Bacteria
Description: partial 16S ribosomal RNA
Rfam family: Bacterial small subunit ribosomal RNA
Source: RNAcentral